Molecule: ribosomal RNA, 279 nt
Filed under: uncultured bacterium
Lineage: Bacteria
Description: partial 16S ribosomal RNA
Rfam family: Bacterial small subunit ribosomal RNA
Source: RNAcentral
UGCCAGCAGCCGCGGUAAGACGUAGGGGGCGAGCGUUGUCCGGAAUUACUGGGCGUAAAGAGCACGUAGGCGGGAACUUAAGUCAGGUGUGAAAGACCGUGGCUCAACCACGGGGUGGCAUUUGAAACUGGGUUUCUUGAGGGCAGGAGAGGAAAGCAGAAUUCCUGGUGUAGCGGUGAAAUGCGUAGAAAUCAGGAGGAAUACCAGUGGCGAAGGCGGCUUUCUGGACUGACCCUGACGCUGAGGUGCGAAAGCGUGGGUAGCAAACAGGAUUAGAUA